RNAcentral lists this long non-coding RNA (622 nucleotides) under Ovis aries (sheep). Its description in RNAcentral is "lncRNA (ENSOARG00000025866.1)". The record is from RNAcentral. Lineage: Eukaryota; Metazoa; Chordata; Mammalia; Artiodactyla; Bovidae.
AGAGUCAGACAUGACUGAGCAACAGAACUGAACUGAACUGAGUCUCUUGGAGAACUUCCUGGGUUUCAUUUUUGGCUUAUUUGGGUUACUGCCAUCUACGUUUGCAGCUUCCCGGAAGGCCAUGGGUCUAGAGGAGGGCUUGCCAUGCUCCAGGGCUACUUCCUUUGGAAGAGUGGAGAAGGGGAACACAAGAGAUCGGAAGAGCACACGGCCCUGGAGAGCCCGCCGCACCGCCCCAGGGUCAGCCCGGAGCCGCUCCUNNNNNNNNNNNNNNNNNNNNNNNNNNNNCCCGGCGGGGCACAGACCCCGCGGCCCUGGAGCCCCCGCCGCCCCGCCCCAGGGUCGGCCCGGAGCCGCUCCUCCACACGCCAGCUCAGCCAGGCACCUCGCAGCCCAGCACAGCCCUCGGCCAAGCCGAGCAGGUGGAGCGGGCAGCGGGGGAGGCGCAAGCAUUGGGGUACCCAGGCCAGCCCCAGAGGCGCACGCCCACCCCGAGCCUCGGAACCCCUACCUGUGGUUGGCAGGCCUGAGGAGAAAGACAAGAAGGGUCAUUACUGUUACUGAGCAAUUUCUGCAGGUGCUGAGACCCCCUGGGGGGCAGCUGCCGGGCUGGGCCAUGUGA